UUCAUUCUGUACAUGUACAGAGUAUUCACUGAUUGAAAAGUUUUGCCUAUCCUAUAUUUCUAAGGUGUAUCUAUUCGAAAAUUGGAGCGUCGAACCUCAAAGAUUCUGACAAAAACGUCGCUGUCGCUUCUAUUUGUUACUCUGUGCUACUAUUUAACAGCAGCCGUUUAUGAAGGCGCGUGACUCCUAUAAUAUAUGAAAUUUUUUUAUUAAAUUAACGAAUCAGGUUAUUGGAAAUGGCAGUUGUAAUAAGUUCAUAAUUAUAUUGUACCAACGAAAGAAUAUGCAAUACUAAUUUAAUAAAUAUGGUGAAUCAUACAGCAAUUUUCAAAACAAUUUUAAUUACAUUUUUUACAAAUUCUGACAAAAUCAUUAAGGCAACAUAUAUUGUUGGUCGAUAAGGGAAUAAAUUUUUCCACAAAAUCUAAAACACAUUAUGAUACUUUAAAAGUAUCUCCCAAUGCUACACACAAUGAAAUAAAGUC
Colletes gigas is the source of this 485-nucleotide long non-coding RNA. RefSeq lists it as uncharacterized. The record is from RefSeq and is a predicted model, not a curated record. The transcript has 3 exons. NCBI's taxonomy places the organism in Eukaryota, Metazoa, Arthropoda, Insecta, Hymenoptera, Colletidae.